GAGUUGGACUGGGCUACUAUUAGUAGCAAAAUUUCAUUGUUGCUACCAAUUUUUUAGCCUUUGGAUCAACUCUUUUCAUUAUUUCUAACCAUUGGAUUAAAUACUAUAACCCAGAAGGGACCACUCAACCCUAGGGGGACCACUCAACUCUAACCGACUAAUAUCAUCCUCACCCUACAAUUUUUCAUCCAAAGGUUAAAAACUUGAUAGCAAAAAAGAGCAUUUUACUAUUAAUAGUAUUCCAGCCUAAUUAUAUAUAUAUAUAUAUAUAGUCCAACUAUUAUACUAUCUAUAGUACAAAUCGUUUUGUGCUAUCGAGUUUUUUGCCGUUAGAUCUACCUAUAUAUAUAGAGUCUGACUACUAUACUAUCAAUAGUACCAAGCAUUUGGUGCUAUCGAGUUUUCUGCCGUUAGAUCU
This 418-nucleotide long non-coding RNA is filed under the name Ananas comosus (pineapple). RNAcentral's name for it is "long non-coding RNA (ACOM_LNC028025)". The record is from RNAcentral. Lineage: Eukaryota; Viridiplantae; Streptophyta; Magnoliopsida; Poales; Bromeliaceae.